UAGGGAAUCUUCCACAAUGGGCGCAAGCCUGAUGGAGCAACACCGCGUGAGUGAAGAAGGGUUUCGGCUCGUAAAGCUCUGUUGUUAAAGAAGAACACGUAUGAGAGUAACUGUUCAUACGUUGACGGUAUUUAACCAGAAAGUCACGGCUAACUACGUGCCAGCAGCCGCGGUAAUACGUAGGUGGCAAGCGUUAUCCGGAUUUAUUGGGCGUAAAGAGAGUGCAGGCGGUUUUCUAAGUCUGAUGUGAAAGCCUUCGGCUUAACCGGAGAAGUGCAUCGGAAACUGGAUAACUUGAGUGCAGAAGAGGGUAGUGGAACUCCAUGUGUAGCGGUGGAAUGCGUAGAUAUAUGGAAGAACACCAGUGGCGAAGGCGGCUACCUGGUCUGCAACUGACGCUGAGACUCGAAAGCAUGGGUAGCGAACAGGAUUAGAUACCCUGGUAGUCCAUGCCGUAAACGAUGAGUGCUAGGUGUUGGAGGGUUUCCGCCCCUCAGUGCCGGAGCUAACGCAUUAAGCACUCCGCCUGGGGAGUACGACCGCAAGGUUG
This 550-nucleotide ribosomal RNA is filed under the name uncultured bacterium. RNAcentral describes it as "bacterial SSU rRNA". It matches the Rfam family "Bacterial small subunit ribosomal RNA", at positions 355 to 896 of the family's 1533-position model. The record is from RNAcentral.